RNAcentral lists this ribosomal RNA (590 nucleotides) under uncultured Burkholderia sp. RNAcentral describes it as "bacterial SSU rRNA". It matches the Rfam family "Bacterial small subunit ribosomal RNA", at positions 418 to 1003 of the family's 1533-position model. Lineage: Bacteria; Pseudomonadati; Pseudomonadota; Betaproteobacteria; Burkholderiales; Burkholderiaceae. The record is from RNAcentral.
UCGGGUUGUAAAGCACUUUUGUCCGGAAAGAAAACUUCGGCCCUAUACGGCGGGAGGAUGACGGUACCGGAAGAAUAAGCACCGGCUAACUACGUGCCAGCAGCGCGGUAAUCGUAGGGUGCGAGCGUUAAUCGGAAUUACUGGGCGUAAAGCGUGCGCAGGCGGUUCGUUAAGACAGAUGUGAAAUCCCCGGGCUUAACCUGGGAACUGCAUUUGUGACUGGCGAGCUAGAGUAUGGCAGAGGGGGGUAGAAUUCCACGUGUAGCAGUGAAAUGCGUAGAGAUGUGGAGGAAUACCGAUGGCGAAGGCAGCCCCCUGGGCCAAUACUGACGCUCAUGCACGAAAGCGUGGGGAGCAAACAGGAUUAGAUACCCUGGUAGUCCACGCCCUAAACGAUGUCAACUAGUUGUUGGGGAUUCAUUUCCUUAGUAACGUAGCUAACGCGUGAAGUUGACCGCCUGGGGAGUACGGUCGCAAGAUUAAAACUCAAAGGAAUUGACGGGGACCCGCACAAGCGGUGGAUGAAUGUGGAUUAAUUCGAUGCAACGCGAAAAACCUUACCUACCCUUGACAUGGUCGGAACCCUGCUG